AGGUUUGUCGCAUCGGGCGCAGCCUGACGACGCGACGCCGCGUGGGGGAUGAAGUCUUCGGUCGUAAACUCCUGUCGAGCGGGACGAAAAGCUCCGAGCUAACACGUCCAGUGGUGACGGGGUCCCGUGAGGAAGCCCCCGUAAUAACUCUAAACAGACCCCGGUAUAAAA
RNAcentral lists this ribosomal RNA (171 nucleotides) under uncultured bacterium. Its description in RNAcentral is "partial 16S ribosomal RNA". The record is from RNAcentral.